UAUGGGUGAGAAAAUGGAUCAGUGAGAGAUCAAUAACAGGAGGUUCGGCUUUGCUGUUAAAACAGCUUAGAUUAGAAGAUCCCUCUGAGUACAGAUUGGCGUUACGACUUACAGCCGAAAAUUUUUACGAGUUACUUUCUCUCAUAGAACACCCUAUUCAGCGUCAAGACACCAUAAUGAGAGAUGCACUACCCGCAAAAAUAAAGUUAGAAAUAACGUUGACAUAUUUAGCUAUAGGAAUGUCUUACCGAAGCAUAAGUCACUUUUAUCGUGUUUCCAAAUCUGCUAUAUCACAGUUAAUACCAGAAGUGUGUCGGGCAAUUUUUAGAGCAUUAAAACAAUUUAUUAAGAUGCCAAAUACAGAAGAGGAAUGGAAAACCAUUGAGGCGGGCUUUAAUACAAAAUUGAAUUUUCCAACGUGUUAUGGCUCAAUAGAUGGAAAACAUGUAGAAAUCAGAGCUCCCUCUAAUAGUGGAAGUGAAUUUUUUAACUAUAAAAAAAAGAAGCAGCAUCAUAUUGUUAGCUAUUGUUGAUUACAACUACUGUUUUUUAUACAUAAACGUUGGCGCAAGUGGCAAUGUAUCUGAUGGUGGUGUUUUCAAAAACUGUUCAAUUCACGAACAACUAGAAAAUGGCCUGUUACCUGAAGAUGGAGUUAUUGUUGGAGAUGCAGCAUUUCCGCUUUAGACAUAUUUAUUAAAGCCAUAUCCAGGCGUUAACCUCAGUGCAGAAGAAAAAAUAUUUAAUUACAGGCCAGACGUGCCAGACGUAUAGUCGAAAACGCUUUUGGGAUUUUAGUCAGUAGGUUUUGUAUUUUUGAAAAGGCAAUACCGACUAACUUGAAUACGGUAGAUGCAAUCAUUUUUGCAACUUGUGCAUUACAUAACUGGCUAAGAAAAAAAUCAAAAUCAUCUAUCACUGCAACUUGCAUAGAUAGGGAAGAUCAAGAUGGAAAUAUUAUACUAGGUUUAUGGAGGCAUGAAAUAACUCCCUUAAAAAGUAUCUCGAAUCAAGGAAGUAAUCAUUCAGCAAAUAUUGCUAGAGAAAAAAGAGAUAAAUAUAAGAAUUUUUUUAUGGACAACGGUAGUAUUCCGUGGCAAUUUGGUCACAUAUAGUAUUAUAAAAAUAGUAAAUAAUGUUAAACUAAACUUACAAAUAUAUAUAUUAUUUUUC
Anthonomus grandis grandis is the source of this 1173-nucleotide long non-coding RNA. RefSeq lists it as uncharacterized. Lineage: Eukaryota; Metazoa; Arthropoda; Insecta; Coleoptera; Curculionidae. The transcript is spliced from 2 exons. The record is from RefSeq and is a predicted model, not a curated record.